GCGCCCGUAGCUCAAUUGGAUAGAGUGCCUGACUACGGAUCAGGAGGUUGGGGGUUCGAAUCCUCCCGGGCGCGCCA
This 77-nucleotide transfer RNA is filed under the name Rhodospirillaceae bacterium. RNAcentral describes it as "tRNA-Arg". It matches the Rfam family "tRNA". From Rfam's summary of the family: Transfer RNA (tRNA) molecules are approximately 80 nucleotides in length. Their secondary structure includes four short double-helical elements and three loops (D, anti-codon, and T loops). Further hydrogen bonds mediate the characteristic L-shaped molecular structure. tRNAs have two regions of fundamental functional importance: the anti-codon, which is responsible for specific mRNA codon recognition, and the 3' end, to which the tRNAs corresponding amino acid is attached (by aminoacyl-tRNA synthetases). tRNAs cope with the degeneracy of the genetic code in two manners: having more than one tRNA (with a specific anti-codon) for a particular amino acid; and 'wobble' base-pairing, i.e. permitting non-standard base-pairing at the 3rd anti-codon position. RNAcentral also lists the same sequence under 4 other names. The record is from RNAcentral. Lineage: Bacteria; Pseudomonadati; Pseudomonadota; Alphaproteobacteria; Rhodospirillales; Rhodospirillaceae.